Long non-coding RNA from Gallus gallus (chicken), 1549 nucleotides. The record is from Ensembl. NCBI's taxonomy places the organism in Eukaryota, Metazoa, Chordata, Aves, Galliformes, Phasianidae.
CCCCCCCCCCCCCCCGGUUCCCAUCUAUGGGGCGGCGCUGUGGGGCCCCAUGGGGUGGGCGGAAGUUCCCCCCCCCCCCCCCCCGCCCCCCCGCCCCACAACAGCUGUGGGGCAGCGCAGGUGGAGGAGCCCCAAAUAGCAGCAAAGAAUCCGUGGGGCGGAAAUUGGGGGGGGGGGGGGAUGGAAGGGGACACCUAUGGGGCAUUCCGGCCCCACACAUCGGCCCCAGCCCCAUAGAUCGGCCCCAUAGCAGGUCCCAGCCCCAUAGAUUGGCCCCAUAGUGGGUUCCAGCCCCAUAGAUUGGCCCCAUAGUGGGUCCUGGCCCCAUAGAUUGGCCCCAUAGUGGGUCCUGGCCCCAUAGAUUGGUCUCAUAGACUGUCCCAGCCCCAUAGAUUGGCUCCAGCCCCAUAGAUCAGCCCCAUAGACAUUUUCAGCCCCAUAGAUCGGCCCCAUAGCGGGUCCUGGCCCCAUAGAUUGGCUCCUGCCCCAUAGAUCGGGCUAUGGGGCAAAGCUAUGGGGCAGAGCUGUGAGGUGCUAUGGGGCAGAUAUGGCGCUAUGGGGCGCUAUGGGGCAGCUAUGGGGCAGAAAUGUGCGGCAAUGGGAAUGGAUGGAGGAUGAAUGGGGGCUAUGGGGCGCUAUGGGGCGCUAUAGGGUGACUAUAGGGCAUCUAUGGGGCAGAGCUAUGGGGCUCUAUGGGGCUCUAUGGGGCAGAGAUGGUGUUAUGGGGUGCAGAGAUGGAGGACAGUGGGAAUGGAUGGAGAAUGAAUGGGGGUUAUGGGGUUAUGGGGCGCUAUGGGGCGCUAUAGGGCAGCUAUGGGGCAUCAAUGGGGCAGAGCUAUGGGGCAGAGGUAUGGGGCUCUAUGGGGCAGAUAUGGAGCUCUAUGGGGCAGAGACGUGGGCUGAUAUGAGGCAAUGGGAAUGGAUAGAGGACGAAUGGGGUCUUUGGGGUUAUGGGGCGCUAUGGGGCGCUAUAGGGCGCUAUGGGCAUCUAUGGGGCAGAUCUAUGGGACUCUAUGGGGCUCUAUAGGGCUCUAUUGGGCAGAGAUGGAGGGCAAUGGGAAUGGAUGGAGGAUGAAUGGGGGCUGUGGGGUUAUGGGGCGCUAUGGGGCGCUAUGGGGCGGCUAUGGGGCAUCUAUGGGGCAGAGCUAUGGGGCGCUAUGGGGCUCUAUGGGGCAGAUAUGGAGCUCUAUGGGGCCGAUAUGAGGCAAUGGGAAUGGAUGGAGGAUGAAUGGGGUCUUUGGGGUUAUGGGGCGCUAUGGGGCGCUAUAGGGCGGCUAUGGGGCAUCUAUGGGGCAGAGCUAUGGGGCGCUAUGGGGCUCUAUGGGGCAGAUAUGGAGCUCUAUGGGGCAGAGAUGGAGGGCAAUGGGAAUGGAUGGAGGAUGAAUGGGGUCUAUGGGGCGCUAUGGGGCGCUAUGGGGCGCUAUAGGGCAGCUAUGGGGCAUCUAUGGGGCAGAGCUAUGGGGCGGAUCUAUGGGGCCGCCCCGUCCUCACCUCCGUGGCUGCGCCUUUGGCCGCUGCGGUGGCUGCAAAACGGCGUCACGGUGGGGGG